GUGUUUAACGGCCGCGGUAUUUUAACCGCGCGAAGGUAGCGUAAUCACUUGUCUUUUAAAUGGAGACCUGUAUGAAUGGCAUAACGAGGGUUUGACUGUCUCCUCCACCCAGUCAAUGAAAUUGAUCUGCCCGUGCAGAAGCGGGCAUAAGCACAUAAGACGAGAAGACCCUAUGGAGCUUUAGGCAAAUGACCAGGCAAAACAAGUCACGGCCCUUAAUAAGCCUAGAAAAACAAAAGCUAAUGAUCAAAAUGCCUUCGGUUGGGGCGACCAUGGAGGAAACAAAAUCCUCCAAGCGGAUAAGGGACAACCCUUGAACCAAGAGAGACACCUCGAAGUAACAGAAUUUAUGACCAACUAUGACCCAGGAUUUAACCUGAUCAACGGACCUAGUUACCCUAGGGAUAACAGCGCAAUCCUCUCCCAGAGUCCCUAUCGACGAGGGGGUUUACGACCUCGAUGUUGGAUCAGGACAUCCUAAUGGUGCAGCCGCUAUUAAGGGUUCGUUUGUUCAACGAUAG
RNAcentral lists this ribosomal RNA (521 nucleotides) under Gymnothorax buroensis. Its description in RNAcentral is "partial 16S rRNA". It matches the Rfam family "Bacterial large subunit ribosomal RNA", at positions 1920 to 2590 of the family's 2925-position model. The record is from RNAcentral. Lineage: Eukaryota; Metazoa; Chordata; Actinopteri; Anguilliformes; Muraenidae.